UACGGGGGGGGCAAGCGUUGUUCGGAAUUACUGGGCGUAAAGGGCUCGUAGGCGGCCAACUAAGUCGGACGUGAAAUCCCUCGGCUUAACCGGGGAACUGCGUCCGAUACUGGAUGGCUUGAGUUCGGGAGAGGGAUGCGGAAUUCCAGGUGUAGCGGUGAAAUGCGUAGAUAUCUGGAGGAAUACCGGUGGCGAAGGCGGCAUCCUGGACCAUAACUGACGCUGAGGCGCGAAAGCUAGGGGAGCAAACGGG
RNAcentral lists this ribosomal RNA (253 nucleotides) under uncultured bacterium. RNAcentral's name for it is "partial 16S ribosomal RNA". It matches the Rfam family "Bacterial small subunit ribosomal RNA", at positions 524 to 776 of the family's 1533-position model. The record is from RNAcentral.